Molecule: ribosomal RNA, 662 nt
Filed under: uncultured bacterium
Lineage: Bacteria
Description: bacterial SSU rRNA
Rfam family: Bacterial small subunit ribosomal RNA
Source: RNAcentral
CGGACGGGUGAGUAACGCGUGAGAAUCUGCCCUCAGGAGGGGGAUAACAGUUGGAAACGACUGCUAAUACCCCAUAUGCCGAGAGGUGAAACGAAUUUCGCCUGGGGAUGAGCUCGCGUCUGAUUAGCUUGUUGGUGGGGUAAAGGCCUACCAAGGCUUCGAUCAGUAGCUGGUCUGAGAGGACGAUCAGCCACACUGGGACUGAGACACGGCCCAGACUCCUACGGGAGGCAGCAGUGGGGAAUUUUCCGCAAUGGGCGCAAGCCUGACGGAGCAACGCCGCGUGAGGGAUGAAGGCCUUUGGGCUGUAAACCUCUUUUCUCAAGGAAGAACAUCUGACGGUACUUGAGGAAUAAGCCACGGCUAAUUCCGUGCCAGCAGCCGCGUUAAUACGGGAGUGGCAAGCGUUAUCCGGAAUUAUUGGGCGUAAAGCGUCCGCAGGCGGCCGUUUAAGUCUGUUGUUAAAUCGUGGAGCUCAACUCCAUCACGGCAAUGGAAACUGUUCGGCUUGAGUAUGGUAGGGGCAGAGGGAAUUUCCGGUGUAGCGGUGAAAUGCGUAGAUAUCGGGAAGAACACCAGUGGCGAAAGCGCUCUGCUAGGCCAUUACUGACGCUCAUGGACGAAAGCCAGGGGAGCGAAAGGGAUUAGAUACCCCUGUAGUC